AGUUUGAUCAUGGCUCAGAUUGAACGCUGGCGGCAGGCCUAACACAUUGCAAGUCGAGCGGAAACGAUGGAAGCUUGCUUCCAGGCGUCGAGCGGCGGACGGGUGAGUAAUGCAUAGGAAUCUGCCCGGUAGUGGGGGAUAACCUGGGGAAACCCAGGCUAAUACCGCAUACGUCCUACGGGAGAAAGCAGGGGAUCUUCGGACCUUGCGCUAUCGGAUGAGCCUAUGUCGGAUUAGCUGGUUGGUGAGGUAAUGGCUCACCAAGGCGACGAUCCGUAGCUGGUCUGAGAGGAUGAUCAGCCACAUCGGGACUGAGGCACGGCCCGAACUCCUACGGGAGGCAGCAGUGGGGAAUAUUGGACAAUGGGCGAAAGCCUGAUCCAGCCAUGCCGCGUGUGUGAAGAAGGCUUUCGGGUUGUAAAGCACUUUCAGUGGGGAAGAAAUCCUCGGGGCCAAUACCCUCGAGGGAGGACAUCACCCACAGAAGAAGCACCGGCUAACUCCGUGCCAGCAGCCGCGGUAAUACGGA
Molecule: ribosomal RNA, 529 nt
Filed under: Halomonas sp. 110
Lineage: Bacteria; Pseudomonadati; Pseudomonadota; Gammaproteobacteria; Oceanospirillales; Halomonadaceae
Description: bacterial SSU rRNA
Rfam family: Bacterial small subunit ribosomal RNA
Source: RNAcentral